CAAAAAAAAUCAUGUUCAAUAAUUGAGUUUUGAUGGCAAGAAUUUACAAAUUAAUCUAAAAUAAAAAAUAUAAUUAUAUCAUUAAUCGGGUAAAUUGGUCAAUAACUUUAACCCUAACCUAACACCAAAAAAAAAAAAAAAAAUUUAUCGACCAAAUUCGGCUAAUUUAAUAAUCGUGUUAAAUUUGAUAAUUCAUACACAUUUAUUCGUGCCUUGAUCGUGUCAAGUAAUCAAGUCGUGUCAUAUUUUACCGGUCGCAAUGUUUCUAUACAACCAAAUAAAAUUUGGUAGAUAAUAGGCCAAUUAUUUUUUUGGAGAUCUCCAAUACCAAAUGUUGUCCUUACGAGUUUUUUAGUAAUUAGUGUACUAAAGAGUGAUAAACAAUCAUCCGAAACGACGUCAUUUGAAAUAAUUAUUUAUCAUCAUUUUGUCAUUCUUUAGUAUAAAUAUCAGUGCUUCAAGUAUGAUUCAAAUAUCUACAUGUAAGUAUAGUUAGUACAUAACUAACGAUAAAAUUCGGAAAAAAUUAUUGUGAUAUAAUUAGGGGUAUUGAUACAUGUAGAUAAAACUAACAACUUAACCCGUUAGACUUACAACUGAAAUUAAUCGUUAUACUUUAUCUUAAAGAAACUGUUCAAACCCAUUUCAUUCCAGCUCACACACAAUCAUAAUCCCUCAAUUCAAAUUAAAUUUGAUGCUCUCCACAAAUAAUGCAAAGUCUAGACCUUUCAAUAAUCAUCUUGCAAAGUCUAGACCUUUUAAUAAUCAUCUUAUUCUUUUAUCGGUAAUAGAUGAAAAAAAAUAUUUUCAUAUUAAAUGUUGAUUUCUAAACAAAUCUAUAUGCUUUAGAAAAUUUUGGUUACUUAAUGUGUUAAGAAAAAAAGAAAUGUUAAAAUAUGUCUAAUAAA
Molecule: long non-coding RNA, 908 nt
Filed under: Citrus x clementina
Lineage: Eukaryota; Viridiplantae; Streptophyta; Magnoliopsida; Sapindales; Rutaceae
Description: Citrus clementina (C. clementina) long non-coding RNA (CCLE_LNC001196)
Source: RNAcentral